This is a long non-coding RNA of Mauremys reevesii (Reeves's turtle), 1479 nucleotides long. RefSeq lists it as uncharacterized. NCBI's taxonomy places the organism in Eukaryota, Metazoa, Chordata, Testudines, Geoemydidae. The record is from RefSeq and is a predicted model, not a curated record. The transcript is spliced from 2 exons.
CCCCGGGUUGUUUCCUCCCAGAGAAGGGUGCCCCCUGAGGGGGACACAGCCUGCCCCCUGAGCCGCAAUGCUUCCUCCACGCCUGCAGGCCCCGCUGUGAGAAGCGUCCUGUUCAGCUGCCAGCCCCACUUCUCUAGGCCGGGGCUGGCCGGAGAAAUAAGGGCACCGUUCAAUAGCGCUAGCCUCUUUAGUCAUAACUUUCCUCCCCUGGCAUCCCAAAGUGUUUAAGCGGCUCUACAAAGUUUGCUGUCAGUCUAAAGAAGUCAUAUGAGUGGAAUGUUGCUAAAUUGAUGAGGGAUCGCCCAGCCUUGCUGAAAUGAAUUAAUGGAUGCCUAACUUCUCACAUCCAACCCUGGACAAAAAGUCUGACAUCACACCCCUCAUCUUGCUACUUGGCCAGACCAAAUUCAAUCCACAGAGGAGUGAAGGAUUUGUUUCAUGUAGCCUUUCUGCCAAUAGGAGGAUUUUCUGGCUCAUCCGAACAAUGUUACCAACUCAUGAGUUAUUUGAUAUUUUUCUAAAGACCCCAGCUCUUGCAGUAAUGUAAUUAUGUGAGAAUUUGAGCUCUCCUUUUAAAAGAAAAGUAUGUUCCUAAUCUUCAUCGUUGAGGAGAAAAGCUUGAAAACAUGACCUAGCUCUGUCUGAAAGGAUCGAAAACUAGAAGGCAAAUAAAGAGAACUCAAAAUGUUAUGUUUUUAAAUCUCAGGAUUGAUUUUUUUUUUUUUGGUCGGGGGAGGUAGAUGUGAUUUUUUUAUGCUUAUGGUUAACACUAAUGCUGUAUUUGUACAUUGAAAGGUGAACACAAGGCUGCUAUUUGUUAAUUCUUACUCAAACACCAUCCCAUAAAGCCCCAUUCUUCAGAUUUACACUGUAGUCAAGCCAUCUCCUGAUUAGGUGGUGCUGUAUAAAGAUCUACCUAUAAGAACAAUAUUGAUAAAAUGGUUCCUAAACCAUGUUGCCAUAGAGAGAGGAAAAGGGUAAACUUGGGAAUUAAAUUCACAAAUUAAAUAACUAGAUUUACAUAAAAUACUUUAAAAGUACUUUUUACCAGCCGAAAAAUACAUUGCUUGCUACUGAUUAAUAAAAGUUGCAUUUAUCCCCUUUAUCCUCUUGAAAAAGUGAAACUAAUUUCCACAUAUGGGGUAACGGUGUCAUUUUGUUAAGUUAUGAUUCAGAUUAUAAUUUCAGAUACAUACUCAUCUUUUUGUUAGGACAUCUUUCAUGCAGAAGAAUGACAGCCUAUGGGGAAGUAUUAUUCUAUAAUGUCAUUUAAAACAGCUUAAAAGCAUUUUAUACUCUUAUCCUAGAAGUGGUUAUUCAGUUCCCUGCUAGGGAAGGUCUGAUCCCUACAGCACAUUUUCUAGUGCUAUAUAAUGACCUUUUAAAAGUCCAAGGAAGACAUUUGUCUUGGGAGAGUACUCCUGACAUCUGUCAGUGUUUUUAGCCUGCUUUUUUCCGUUCUUAAUUUCAUUCCAUUGA